Diospyros lotus (date-plum) is the source of this 196-nucleotide small nuclear RNA. RefSeq annotates it as U2 spliceosomal RNA. The transcript has a single exon. NCBI's taxonomy places the organism in Eukaryota, Viridiplantae, Streptophyta, Magnoliopsida, Ericales, Ebenaceae. The record is from RefSeq and is a predicted model, not a curated record.
AUACCUUUCUCGGCCUUUUGGCUAAGAUCAAGUGUAGUAUCUGUUCUUAUCAGUUUAAUAUCUGAUACGUGGGCCAUUGGCCCACAUGAUAUUAAAUUAAUUUUUCGAAGGGGAGGGCCUACGACAGUGGCUUGCCACUGGGGUCCUCGCGCGUCGCCCUGGCCUUGCACUGCUGCCUCGGCCUGGCGCUCCCUGC